Molecule: long non-coding RNA, 1650 nt
Filed under: Mus caroli (Ryukyu mouse)
Lineage: Eukaryota; Metazoa; Chordata; Mammalia; Rodentia; Muridae
Description: predicted gene 3830 (MGP_CAROLIEiJ_G0006714.1)
Source: RNAcentral
AUUAGUGAGGCUCCAUAAGGUCAGCCAGGUCUCUUGACCCCAGCCAGGACCUCUUCCCACCACAUCAGGCUCCUGCUCCAUCCUCAGGCACCCAGACAAACCCCUCCACCGCCUAUGACAAAGAGGCUCAUUUGGAGCCUGGGCAAGAUUUGCAAACGUCAACCUUGUAAUUACAAGGAUGAAAUCAUCUGGUUCCUUUUAAGCAAAAGGGUUUAUUGAUCCCAACACUGAAGAAAUGCUAUUCUGGGUCCUCUGCUCAAGAAAUCUUCCCACCUCGGUGGUCAAAGUCGCUGGCACUGUAAGUACGUGCUGCUUACAAAUUUCACUGCUAAAACCCCUUGACCAUGAAGGCUGGGACUGCAGCUCAGUGGUAUAGCGCUUGAUGAGGUGAAUCCCUGGGUUUGAACUACAUGGCCUAGACUGUGGUGGUUUGAGUGAGAACUGGCCUUCCCAUAGGCUCAGAUGUUAGAAUACUUAAUCCCCAGUGAUGGCACUGUUGAGGUGUGGCCUUGCUGAAGGAAAUGUGUCCCCAGGGCCAUCUUUGAGGUUUCAAAGCCACUGGCAUUCCUAAAUCUUAUUCUGCUUUCUGAUUAAAGAUGUGAGCCCUCAGUUUCCUGCCUGUGUCACCAUGCCCCACCGUCAGGGAUUCUAACCCUCUGGAGUGGUAAGCUUACACACACACACAGACACACACACCACUCUCACCAACAAACCUUUAAUUUUGGGUAAUCAACUCUCCAGACUUCAGUUAAGAUGAUUAACCCUCCUAGUUUGUUAGGGACUGAGCAGCUUCCGAGGGCUGGGGGGGGGCGGGGGGCAGGGGAGGUCAUUGCUAAAAAUGAGAGCUGUCUAUGGCAAACUAGGACAGUUCCUUACCCACGUUUAGGUCCCUAUCUAAUAAAUGAGAUUGGGCUGGACUGGCGGUGAAAUUCUGCCAAAAUCUGUAUUCAAGCAGGCAUUAACAACUGACCUCAGAACUGAUUCCAGUGACUUAUAAGUAUCUUGUCACAAUCCUUAGCAUCUGGCCAGCUGCUGCCAAGAGUUGGCACUUACCUGCCAUCCUUGAACUGAACUUUUAACAAACUGCGAUUUUUAAGGAUCAGAGUUUAUUGAGGGUCAGCUUUAGCUCAAGCUCUGCUGCAAACCCCGAGUCAGACUUUCUUCUGCUCUGGCAAGUUCUCUAGAACUUGCAGAUCUUGAAUUUUUUUUUUUUUUCUUAUUUGAUUGCACAUUUGGGUAAAAAUAUGGACUGGCAACGGGUUACAUAUAAUUAAGAUAGUUUUCCUUUAAAUGAUGUGCUAGAUCUACAUAAACACUCUCCUACUAACGCCAUGAACUUAUGAGUGUGCAUUUUGGAAAUUACUAAUCUGAGACUUACUGGUCUGGUACUUGUCUAAACCUUGUCUGCAGGCAGAGCUACACGGAAUCCUAAGGCCAACCCCGUUUCAACAGCCACCACCUUUCUUCCACCAUGAUUUGGUUAGAUGCCUACUUCCACCUUUCAGUGCACAGUCCACAUCCCUCCCUAUCGGUGUGGAGUAUGCAAAGUCCUCUAAGACUUAGGUUUCCUUGAAUUCAAGUAGCCCUUUUGGGGGUUACUCUGCGUGGCUGGCUGGGGAGCCAAGAAGUUCCAGAUCGCUCACAAAGGGC